Rhododendron vialii is the source of this 407-nucleotide long non-coding RNA. RefSeq lists it as uncharacterized. Lineage: Eukaryota; Viridiplantae; Streptophyta; Magnoliopsida; Ericales; Ericaceae. The transcript is spliced from 2 exons. The record is from RefSeq and is a predicted model, not a curated record.
UCCUGACGUCCCCAUUCAUUCCCAUGAGGGAAUCAAACUGUUUAAGCACAUAAAAUCCAAAAGGAAUUCUGGUUGCAUCCCUUAGAUUGCAACCCACUAGAGAGAGAGAGAGAGAGUAUUCUGAAUACAAAGUCUCACUGAUAUCCAAUACAACUGAAAAAAGAUCAUGCAAAGCGAGCUGGUAGCUGAGGUGCCCCAAGGGACACAUAAGCCCCCACCCCCAUUUCAAAAAGAAAAGAAGGUAAAGCAUACGCUAGAGAUCCUCUGAGUCAGAGUUAUACUACUUCCGCUUUGGUAACCUAUUUAAAACAGAACCUUAAAGACUGGAGACGCUAACAUUUAAAACAAAUUAUACAAAUGUUUCGAGAAAAUCUUAAUGUUUUUGACAUACAAAACAAUUUAUCUAU